AUUGAACGCUGGCGGCAUGCCUUACACAUGCAAGUCGAACGGCAGCACGGGGGCAACCCUGGUGGCGAGUGGCGAACGGGUGAGUAAUGCAUCGGAACGUGCCCGAUAGUGGGGGAUAGCUCGGCGAAAGCCGGAUUAAUACCGCAUACGACCUACGGGUGAAAGCGGGGGAUCGCAAGACCUCGCGCUAUCAGAGCGGCCGAUGUCAGAUUUAGGUUGUUGGUGGGGAAAAGGCCGUACCAAGCCGACGAUCUGUAGCUGGUCUGAGAGGACGGACCAGCCACACUGGGACUGAGACACGGCCCAGACUCCUACGGGAGGCAGCAGUGGGGUAAGUUUUGGACAAUGGGCGGAAAAGCCUGAUCCAGCCAUGCCGCGUGCGGGAAGAAGGCC
This 393-nucleotide ribosomal RNA is filed under the name uncultured bacterium. RNAcentral describes it as "bacterial SSU rRNA". It matches the Rfam family "Bacterial small subunit ribosomal RNA", at positions 29 to 416 of the family's 1533-position model. The record is from RNAcentral.